CAAAUCAGGAUAAAUGUCUGAUGAGGAAGAUCAGCUUCCCCAUCCCACUCAGGCGUCAUGUUGAUGUGACGCUCACCUUGGCUAACAUUUUCUCCUGUGAGCAACGUGAAGUUCAAGACGUUAUGAAUGGCUUUUUGUUUUUCUUCCUUAGUCUUUCCACAUUCACUGUGUCUGGUGAGAUUAUAUGAAUCCUGCUUAUUUUCAGCCCAGCACUAAGCUUUUUAAAAGGAUCACGUGUUUAAAAGGCUAGUGGACAAUUUGUUAGAAGAUUGAAAUCCUUAGACUUUGGUCCUAGAGUUGAAUCUUGGUUACUGGUGAAUGAGAAUUCCCGUUAAAAUUUUAAAUUCAGUGAUAUAAAGUUUUAAAAAUAGUUAAAUAUUAGUCAAUUUCGUUAAACACUAUAGCAGUUAUUUACUUUUAAGCCUGUCUCUGGGGCAAUUUUGCAAUGAUUCCCUCCCUUUAUUGAUUCUCUCUUUAUCAGAAUCCUUGAGAGGUCCCUGUCAUCAUUGUCAGUAUCAUCAUCAUCAUCACCAUCAUCAUGGAACUGAUUCCUCUGGGAGAUUCUAGGAAAAUAAAGAGCUGGACGGGGUUAUGUGCAGCAUCCCAGACUGACGAAGACAGUGGAGAAUGCCUCUGAGUUUGGCACUGAUUGCCUGGAGAAUGCUGAAACCCAGGGAAGUGGGCAGCACAGACGUUUACUCAUUUAAUCCUGCCAACACAGUAGGAGAUAGAGUCUACAUAUUCCUCGCUACUUAAAAGAUCCCUGCCUUCUCUCUGCUCCUCCUGUCCAUGUCUCUC
Camelus dromedarius (Arabian camel) is the source of this 798-nucleotide long non-coding RNA. RefSeq lists it as uncharacterized. NCBI's taxonomy places the organism in Eukaryota, Metazoa, Chordata, Mammalia, Artiodactyla, Camelidae. The transcript has 3 exons. The record is from RefSeq and is a predicted model, not a curated record.